RNAcentral lists this long non-coding RNA (354 nucleotides) under Populus tremula. RNAcentral describes it as "long non-coding RNA (PTRE_LNC002310)". Lineage: Eukaryota; Viridiplantae; Streptophyta; Magnoliopsida; Malpighiales; Salicaceae. The record is from RNAcentral.
CAUCAAUACCAUCAAACCCUCCUCGAGGUGGUGGAUACGACCCCACCCCUCCGACCACUGGAGGCAGCCCGCCUACACCAGUGAUCAGUGUAAGCCCUCCUCGAGGUGGUGGAUACGACCCCACCCCUCCGACCACUGGAGGCAGCCCGCCUACACCAGUGAUCAGUGUAAGCCCACCAACCACCCCAAGUAUCAUUCCAGGCACCCCUUUCACCCCCACGCCUCCUUUCAUUCCUGAUCCUAAUUCACCCUUCUCAUGCAAGUAAGUUUCUAUUAUUCACCUCGAAUCUAAACUAUAUGAAAUGUAUUAAAUAUAUACAUCUAUCAUCAUGCAGUGUCCAUAUAUUAACAACU